CUUUGGAAUUGUAUGUGGUUUUGAGUUAUUCUUUCAUUUAGAUGCUGGAAGGUUCUUUUAUGUGAUCUACUAUCAAUUGAUUGUUAAUAGGCCUUCUCUGUUAGUAUAGAAUGUGUUGAAGAAAUGAUGUUGAAUAUGCCCAAGAAGGAUGAGACAUCGCCCCGUCUGAGGCAUAUAUUUGUCAAAUUGGUGGAGAGAUGCCGGUGCCAGCUGGAACAGAUUCCACCAGAACAAACUUUUGAGUCAUUCAGCCUAAAUAUGGAUGUUGAUGCAUUUGACAAUUGUAGAGCCUGAUCCUAUGGAUCGUGAUGAUGAUGGAAGAAGUUUGUCAGAUCAAGGCUCUCACAGUGUUGAUCAAAUUUCUUCAAACCAACAGGAGAUGGAGAACACUUCACUUUUUGUUUCUUUCAACACUAAUUUUAAGUUGACGUCCCUGAAAAUAAAACAACUGAAAGUUGGUGUUUUUUUUGUUUGGUUUCCCACCCGGUGUCUAGCACCCACAUUGGAAGUCCCACAUUGGGUGGGGUAUGACAGUGAACCAUUUACUUUUCCCGAUGCUGAGGAUGAUGACAGAUUUGAUGAUUAACUGUUUUUUGGACCAGGAUUUUCUUCACAUUUCCUGGGCUGGUGAAAGGUAAGCUUCCGUAGGAAUACCACAAGGAAUUGUAACUUUUCCAAUCCUCCUCUCUCCAGUAGCCUUGAUAUGAAGAUGGAUCACCAGUAAAAUCUUAGAGAACAGAGAGUGGAGAAGCAGAAUCUGAAAUUGCUUUCACCAAAGCUUUCGACACUGAUCUAUCACAUGGCUUUGCUCCUCCAAAGAAUCUCAUGUUACUACUACUUCCAGAAAAUAGAACACUAUGUAACAGGUUAUUUCCAGAAGAUUGUCAUUAUCAACCUAAAAUCUUGUGAAGCUGUUUCUUUGAGCCUAGUCACUUUUACGAGUCUGUUAUGAGCUGACUACCUUAGAAAAAUAUUAUGAUUGCUUGUAUUCUUUUGCCUUAGAGCCCUGGAAGGAGAGGAAAGCAAAUCCCAGGUUAGAUAACUAUUAUGGCCAUCCACCCAAGAGGUUAGUUGGAGGCAUCAAUAGAGAGCAUUAUGGUUGAAGGAGGGGGACUUCAAUACUAAAUUCUUUCACAGGGGAGCAGUAGCAAAUAGAAGCGAUGUGAGAAAGGAGGAAGUGGUAGAGGGGGCAGUUGUAGAUUAUUAUGAAAUAUUGCUUAAAGAAAAAGUGGAUUGGGAGCCUACUAUUGGGAGUUUAGGGUUCAGUCUAAUCGUACGGGAGGUGAAUGGUUGGAGAGGGCAAUGGAGGAGCAAGAGGGAAAAAGAGUGGUGGAGUGUUGAGCAUGUCACAAAGCUCGGGCCCAAAUGGUUUCUCUUUGGCUUUUAUUAGCAUUGCUGGAAUACAGUCAAAAUAAAUGUGAUGAAUUCUAUUGCUGAGUUCCAACAUAGUAGUAAAUUUGAAAAGAGUUAGAAUGCCUCGUUCAAUGGUAUCAUCCCUAAAAUGGGAGUGAGCUACAAGCGCAAUGGAUUAUAAGACUUAAGUGUUGGCUGAGAUCGUUUCUUCACAAAUUGCUUUUGUGGAGGGCAAACGGAUUUUGUAUGCAGUGUUGGUGGCGAACAAAGUGAUGGAUUCAAAGAUAAAGCAGGGAGUACUUGGUGUGUUGUGCAAACUUGAUCUUGAAAAGGCAUACGAUCAUGUGAAUCGGAAAAAUUCAGGACUCCAUUAUGCUUCAAAUGUGAUUUGGGGAGAAGCGUAGGAAAUGAAUCUACUUUUGUGUUUCUUUGGUGAGAGUUUGGAGCUAUUUCAGCUUGGGAUGAUGAUAGUGAAUUUCCUGGGACCUUUUGAUGGCAAUGCAUUUAGUGAUGUUGGGAAGUUAAGCACACUUGUCUCUUAACCUCGCCAGGUUUCUUCCUCUUCUCCUCUUCUCAAAUCUUGUCUAUUUAUGCUUGUGGUUCUGCAAUCUAGAUUCCUCCAAGUGUAAAUUUUAACCCUCAGGCCCACAGUUGAUCAAGUAUGAUUUAUACAGAUUAAAUUCUCCUGCAGGGACCAGGCCCUAUUCUCCGCACCAUUGGCUGUUCUUUUAAUUUUCUGUUGCGCCUGUUACUUUUUUGGGUGGGUGCGUGGGUGUUGUGGCUGUUUGGUACUAUUGGUGCUAAUAAGUAGUUGUUUAUGUUGAAAAUAAAUAAUACCUGAUUGAGAACUUUUGUGGAACUGAUGAGUAGUAUUAAUCCCUUUUUCUUUAGGCUGAAAUGGAGAGAAUAAGCUUGAAUUUUGAAAGUGGGUGUUUAGUACCAGGCUGUAUUGAUAGGUCAAUGUCUUGUGCUAUUCAAGAUUGAAGUGUUCUGAAUUCUGAGGGAGACGAAUAAUGCACAUAAUUUUGACAGUGGUCAGUUACUAUUUGUCUUGAGAUAUGAGCAGUUGAAUACUAGAGAAGAAUCUCAUUAAAUAGACUUUGUUGUGAUGGUUCAGAAUUCACAUUAAGUAUAGUCACACAACUAUAAAUUCUGGUAAUUCAUCUUGUGCGUCCAAUUUGUUUAAUCUGAUACAUAUGGUUUGUUUGUAUCAAUAAGAUAAGUUGGAGAAUGUUAGAUGUUGAUUAGUACUAGUUUUGUUGUAGUUCUUGUUUUUGAACUAUAGUAUUGUUUAUUCUUGAUUUCAAUAGCAUGUUGUUUAUUGAUUGUUGCUAUUCUGUUGUUGUUAUUGUUAGAUCUUGAUUAGAGCUAUGAAUUUAGUAGUCCUAGAUGAAUUACACUUAGUGAUACAAAGAGUAGAAUUAUUGAAUCUGUGAAAUUCAGUCUGUGUACAGGAUUAGUGUGUCCUGUAAGGACUUGGGGGUCAUUUGGUUAAAAAACAAGUCAGGAAUUCUAAUAUAGGGAUUAUUAAUACAGAGAUUGUAAUGUAGAGAUUAUUUUUUAUCAGGUGUUUGGUCUAAUGUAUUAAAAGUUGUACCCUUGCUUUCUUAACAGAAUAACAACAUCAUGUUGCCUGGAAAGAGUAUUUUGGUGAAUGAAUCUUUUAAUACAAACAUGUAUGAUUAAAUGGAGACUCAGAUAUGGCGGAGGAAUAAUUAACAAGUAAAGAAGAGGACAAAAAAAAAACCCAAAUCACCAAAGCCACCACAAUGUUCCUUCGACCCGAAUAAACACAAAAAGCAAUGAGAUACAAACAACAAAAUCAACUAAAACAAACAAACACCCAAUUGGUGCCCAAGAUCAUAGUGGGGUUGUCUGUUGAAGUAGAACAAUGAGCAAUAAAGAUAGAAAUGGGUUGUCUUCAGAGUUGAAGUGGAAGUAUGUUAUGGAGGAUGACUCACUGGACAGGGUUAGUUUAGUCUUUUAGGUGAUUUAUCCCCGUGUAGCUAAUACUAGGAUUAGUUAUUCCAUGUUGACUUCCGUAUAAGUCAACCAAAUAUAGAACUAACUAAUACAAAGUUUGUACUGUGAUUAAUUUCUGCAAUACGUCGAACCAAACGUCCCCUUAGUGUCUUUGUUAAAAAAACGCUCCCUUAGUGUCCAUGCUUAAACAAGUGAAAUGGAGAGAUUAAUGGAGAUUUGAAGGGUGAUUUUCAGUGACGAGAUGUGUUGUUAGAUUGGAUUGUUUAUAUCGUGAUGGUUUGGAAGUAGUAGCUGUGUAAGGUUGACAAUGAUGGGACAGUUACAAUGGUUUGUCUUCAAGCAGUUGAUUAUAGAUGAGGGUCUCUUAAAUAUAGUUUGUUGCAGAGGUGGUUCAAAAUUCAUUUAAAAGCUUCAUUUAAAGUUGUGAUGUGGUUGAGCUGGUUAGUGGUAAUUUGGAAGUGUGAUGUCAACUUGGUUGAUGAUAGUUCCUUUGUAAUGGAUGAGUUGUUGCAGUCAAUUUUUUGGUGAUGGAGAAAUCAGUCACGAGCCAACCCUUUGGUCAAUGUAGCUUUGGAAACUCGCGAAUGAUGGGCUCACUCUUUACUUUUCUCCACUCAUGUACUGGACCUAGUUCGUUUGACAUAGGCCUCAAACUAGUAAAUUAAAACACAUGUCUCCCAACCCUUGCUAAUUGAGCAUAAUCAUCUUUUAUCACACUUUUGGAAUCUAAACCUGGGGAUGUAAUGGUUUCUGGCCAUCUGCUGUUAAAAGUUUGUACUUUGAUAUAAUUAUGAAUGAAUUACAUUUGUUGGUGACAGAUUCUGAUUUUGGUGAGUCGAUUUCAAACUGCAAUGUUGAAUUUUUAUUAAAAUACAUUUUUGCUAGGUCUUCUUGUCUACUAGAAGGACAUAGAUGUGACUUUUUGCUAGGUCUUCUUGUCUACUAGAACAGUGACAUAGGUGUGACUUAGCAAAGAUGGCAAUUCUUUAAGUGCUUCUAGACUAUUUCAUAAGUUUUGACUUCUACAUAUACUAAUAGUGAAUUGCCAUGUCCCUAGUCUUCAACAAAGCGCACGUGUGACAAAGACAACUCUCUCACAAUCUUGCACAACUUACUCACGAUCUUGCUAUGCCAAAUUUGCUAAACUAAGCCUUUUUAUUGUAGAGAACUUGAUUAUUCGGGCUCUGUUUUUACCAUAAAUUUUGGUUCCAGAAUUUGAAAUACUACGUGGAGAUACAUUUUAAUUAACUGCUUGUCUGUCAAAUUGGUCCAAUAUUUCAACUUAAAAUUUGAAGUUUGAAUUAUACAUUCUAGGAGUUUUCAGGUUUUCACUCACAGAACUUCAACUUUGUUUCCAUGCCCAAACACAACUUCAACUUCUAAAUACCCUUUUCAACUUCAAAUGCUACUUCCUUUGCUUUUUCCAAAUCUCAACCAGAUCAUGUUCAAAAGCCUACUUACUGUAUAUUAGGGAAACAUACAGGUCAAACAUUUUACAUUUUUGUUCUUAAAUAAUAGCUAGUGAAAAAUGUUGUAAUGAGGUGAGUAUAUGGUUCAUCUUUUUUCUGUAGUAUAUAUUUGACUAGUAGAUAUCUGGUUAUCUUAUUUGGAUAUGUACUUUGAAAUUAGAGGAUUACAACUAUCUCAAAUUGGAUAUAUUUAUCUUUUUGUUAGUUGGUUUUGUGACAAUUUCACUUCGAUUUAAACAAAGAGGUCAGUAUUUAAUUCAUUAUAAUAUUCUUUAAUGCAUUAAUGAUUUUAUUUAAGAAGUUACUCCUUUUGCCCCAUUUUAUAUGACAACAACCGAUAGGACGCUAAACAUAUGCUACUAAAAGAAUAAGGGAUGUGAUGAAGCAAUAGUAAGGAAGUAUGUUAAGGUUUAAAUUUGAUUUGUUAAAUAAUUUUGAAUUGUUAGAACUUAUGGAAGUUAUAAUUUGAAACGAACCAUAAAUUUUGCCAAACAUGUAAUGAUGUCCCCAACUAAAAUAUUAUGAUGGGCGGAGGCAGUAAUUUGGACUGAAUUAUCUUCUUGCAGACAGCUUCUUUCGUUUAUUAUUAUGAUAAAAAUAUUAGUUUACAUGUCUUUGGUUUAUUGUGUUUCGAUUAUCACAUAUUUGCUGAUGUUACCGAUCUUUCUUGUAAACUUUACACUGCCUUUCUUAAUAACUGCUAUGCUUCUUUAUUGUUUUCGUCUUGUACUUAAGUUUGAUGCACUUGAGCCGGGGGUUUAUCGGAAACAACCUCUCUACCUCCUCGAGGUAGUGGUAAGGUCUGUGUACACUCUACCGUACCUUGGCCCCACUUAGUGGGAUUGCAGGGGGCAUGUUAUUGUAGUGUACAUGUCUCUCUUUCAAAUUUUAUUGGCACACAUUCUCAACUAGUUAGAAAUUGAUAUUGCGUCAACUUAUAGAUUCAAUUGAUUGGAGGGAGAUGUUCUGCAUUUUGUACAAACUCCACUGACUUCUCCGUUAUUCCAAGCUCCUAAAUUGAGUAGUAUUCCAUUCUUGUGAUAUAUCUCAUACUCCAAUAUAACAGAUUAACUAAUUAGUUAAGGAGGAAAUUUGUAGAUAACAAAAACAUGUUAAUUUUGUAGAUAUUUGAUUGUUAGGUACACUCAAGGAAGAAGAUCUCGAUUAUAAAUGUUUGACUGGGUAUGUUAUUGUGUGUACGUCUCUCUUUCAAAUUUUAUUGGCACACAUUUUCAACUAGUUAGAAAUUGGUAUCGUAGAUUCAAUUGAUUGGAGGGAGAUGUUCUGCAUUUUGUACAAAAGCCACUGAAAUCUCCGUUAUUCCAAGCUCCAAAAUUGAGUGUAGUAUUCCAUUCUUGUUAUAUAUCUCAUACUCCAAUAUAACAGAUUAACUUAUUAGUUGAGAAGGAAAUUUGUAGAUAACAAAAACAUGUUAAUUUUGAUAUUUGAUUGUUAGGUACACUCAAGGAAGAAGAUCUCGAUUAUAAAUGUUUGAGUUCAUUUUGCUUUUAGAGGACCUUAAAAUGCUAAAGAGUGACAAAUAAGAGAGAGUUAUUCAUCAGAAGUCCCAAGGUUACCUGGGAAUUAGAGACUUGUCAAUACAUAACAAAAGCAUGUUGAUGAAAUGAUUAUGCAGAUAUGACAAGUGGAUCAAGCUUUGCGGAGAAAGGGUUGUGAAUGCCAAACAUGGUACUGCGAAUCACUGGAGCACCACGGUUGUUAGUUCCCUUUAUGGCGUGGGUCCUUGGAAGUAGUAUAUCAGCAAGUUAGGGGUGGAACUCUAUCUCAAUUGUAAGUUUUAAGGUGGGCAGUUGAUUAAAAGUUAGGUUCUGGAACAUUACAAGCUGAUUUUCCUAGUCUCUAUGCAAUAGCCACAAGCAAAUCUUCAACCAUCUCUCAAGAUAGAGCUGACAAUACCUGAAAGGCUGGAACUCUCAAUUCAAAAGGAACUUCCAAGACUGGGAACUACAAGACCUUCUCAGCUUACUGGAGAGACUAGGAGUUGUCCAAAUCAGUGAUUAAUCACCUGACAGACUCAUUUGGGGGGAUAAAGCGAUUGGUAAAUAUUUUGUGAAGGCAGCAUACAAUUUACUACGUGCUCAAAAUAAAAUGCUAGUGAAUUGGCAAUGGAAGUUAAUCUGCAAAACCAGGUUAUCCCCCUAGGUGAUUUGUUUUAGAUGGCUAGCCCUUCAUGAAGUCUCCCUCACCCAAGACAACCUCAUCAGGAGAAAAAUCCACAUUGUCAACAGAUGCUUCAUGUGUCACCAGACCCUAGAGAUCAACAGACAUCUUCUUCAUUGUCAAGUAGCCACAGGAAUAUGCAACAUGUUCAUCUCAGUUUUUGGUCUAAAAUGGGUUGUGCCAAGUAGUGUUAAAGAUGCACUGGUUAGCUGGAGCUCAUGGAAGGUCAUAAAACCCGUCAGGAAAGUGUGGAAGAUGAUCCUGCUUGCAUUUUUUUGGUGUGUAUGGACAGAAAGAAACAAUAGAUGCUUUGAAGGAACCUCUUCCUCAAGCUACAUUCUUGAGUCUUAAAGAGUUCUAACCCUCUGUAGCUGGAGCAAUUUCCCCCUGUCAAUUCCCCUGAAACUUUUUUGGACUUUGUUAGGUCCUAACUUUAGAUAUUAGCCUUGGUAAUAGAGCUAACAAUGUAAAUUAUGCAUCUUCUUGAUGCCUUCUAUGAAAUCUUUUAUCCGGUUUAUGGCACAGUACUCAUGUUGAAAUUUAUUAUUAGGCCAACUUAAACAGUGAGUCAAAUGGAGGUAAAUCUACCUAAGGUCAGAUCAGGAGCACUACAAAGAUAUGUAUUGCUUAAACAAAGGGCGAGCACAGGGAUGUACAAGUAUCAAUAACAGCAACUUGGCGUUCUCUAGUUGUAACUAGGAAAAUACUAUUAUAAGUUGUCUUACGGUUUGUGUAUUUUGGUCAAUGUAGAGUUUGAGACAGAAAGAUUGGGCUGCUUCUUUGUUCUGGCAUGGUUGGAGUUGCCUCGAGAACGUUCAUCAUGAAGGUUAGAGUUGUCAAUGCAUUCGCAAACUUACUUUUUUCUCAGCAGUGGAGGAAAACUUAUUUUCUUGUCCAGUAAAGUUCCUUGUUGAAAAGGUGUUUACCACAUACAUGGCAAUACAAGUAUGCCAGUAAGACCAGAUUCGAUAUCCCUAUUAUACAAUCGAGACAGAGAUCUCAAACAUCAACAUCGUUGAAAUAGUAAUUUAUUAUGUUAUAUAA
Non-coding RNA from Solanum lycopersicum (tomato), 8030 nucleotides. The record is from RefSeq and is a predicted model, not a curated record. NCBI's taxonomy places the organism in Eukaryota, Viridiplantae, Streptophyta, Magnoliopsida, Solanales, Solanaceae.